RNAcentral lists this transfer RNA (72 nucleotides) under Camelus bactrianus (Bactrian camel). It matches the Rfam family "tRNA". Rfam says of the family: Transfer RNA (tRNA) molecules are approximately 80 nucleotides in length. Lineage: Eukaryota; Metazoa; Chordata; Mammalia; Artiodactyla; Camelidae. The record is from Rfam by way of RNAcentral. RNAcentral also lists the same sequence under 2 other names.
GAGGGUAUAGCUCAGUGGUAGAGCACGUGCUUAGCAUGCAGGAGGUCAUGGGUUCAGUCCCCAGUACCUCCA